This 301-nucleotide ribosomal RNA is filed under the name uncultured bacterium. RNAcentral's name for it is "partial 16S ribosomal RNA". It matches the Rfam family "Bacterial small subunit ribosomal RNA", at positions 509 to 809 of the family's 1533-position model. The record is from RNAcentral.
CAGCCGCCGCGGUAAGACGGAGGGUGCUAGCGUUGUUCGGAAUCACUGGGCGUAAAGGGCGCGUAGGCGGCCUGUUAAGUCGGAUGUGAAAGCCCGGGGCUCAACCCCGGAACUGCAUCCGAGACUGGCAGGCUUGAGACCGGGAGAGGAGGGUGGAAUAUCCAGUGUAGAGGUGAAAUUCGUAGAUAUUGGAUGGAACACCGGUGGCGAAAGCGGCUCUCUGGCCCGGAUCUGACGCUGAGGCGCGAAAGCGUGGGGAGCAAACAGGAUUAGAUACCCCUGUAGUCCCUGUCUCUUAUAA